The sequence is a ribosomal RNA, 128 nucleotides long. It matches the Rfam family "Bacterial large subunit ribosomal RNA", at positions 2785 to 2925 of the family's 2925-position model.
GCAUGAAGCCCCCCUCAAGAUGAGAUUUCCCCAAUAGAUGCCUCAGAGACUAUGAGGUUGAUAGGUUCGGCGUGUAAGUGUGGCAACACAUUCAGCGGACGAAUACUAAUCCAUCGAAGACUUAUUCA